AGAACGAACGCUGGCGGCAUGCCUAAUACAUGCAAGUCGAACGAAGGCUUCGGCCUUAGUGGCGCACGGGUGCGUAACGCGUGGGAAUCUGCCCCUUGGUUCGGAAUAACAGUUGGAAACGACUGCUAAUACCGGAUGAUGACGAAAGUCCAAAGAUUUAUCGCCAAGGGAUGAGCCCGCGUAGGAUUAGCUAGUUGGUGAGGUAAAGGCUCACCAAGGCGACGAUCCUUAGCUGGUCUGAGAGGAUGAUCAGCCACACUGGGACUGAGACACGGCCCAGACUCCUACGGGAGGCAGCAGUAGGGAAUAUUGGACAAUGGGCGAAAGCCUGAUCCAGCAAUGCCGCGUGAGUGAUGAA
Molecule: ribosomal RNA, 358 nt
Filed under: uncultured soil bacterium
Lineage: Bacteria
Description: bacterial SSU rRNA
Rfam family: Bacterial small subunit ribosomal RNA
Source: RNAcentral